UACAGAGGGUGCGAGCGUUAAUCGGAAUUACUGGGCGUAAAGCGUGCGUAGACGGUUAUUUAAGUCGGGUGUGAAAGCCCCGGGCUCAACCUGGGAAUUGCAUUCGAGACUGAAUAGCUAGGGUACGGUAGAGGGAAGUGGAAUUUCCGGUGUAGCGGUGAAAUGCGUAGAUAUCGGGAGGAACACCAGUGGCGAAGGCGACUACCUGGCCUGUUCUUGACGCUGAGGCGCGAAAGCUAGGGGAGCAAACGGG
Molecule: ribosomal RNA, 253 nt
Filed under: uncultured bacterium
Lineage: Bacteria
Description: partial 16S ribosomal RNA
Rfam family: Bacterial small subunit ribosomal RNA
Source: RNAcentral